CAAAGUUGUUGUGUAGUCGAUUGCAAAAAUACAAGUCGAAAUAGCAAUUGUAAAUUUUAUAAGUUUCCGGUUGCCAAUUGGAAAUUAAAUCAGCGAAAAAAAUGGAUCGCUGCUGUUAAAAGGCAAAAUAUUGAUGGAUCGUUAUGGUCUCCAAAACCUAUGGAUGUUAUAUGCAGUGAACACUUCAUUAGCGGUGAAAAAUCAGAUAUUGAAUCAAGUCCCAACUUCGCUCCAACUAUUUUUCCAUCAGCUUAUAGACGACGUAAAGUCAACGAAUCUGCCGUUUUGAAUAGACACAAACGCUUCAUGGAGAGAAGAAUAAUGAAAAAGU
Neodiprion virginianus is the source of this 331-nucleotide long non-coding RNA. RefSeq lists it as uncharacterized. The record is from RefSeq and is a predicted model, not a curated record. The transcript has 3 exons. Lineage: Eukaryota; Metazoa; Arthropoda; Insecta; Hymenoptera; Diprionidae.